GGACUGGAAUAGCCUACUGAAUUGGUCCUUUGAUCAGAGCUUAGCUGUGGCUCAUUGAUAAUUAAUAAAGACUCAUUCUGAACACCUCAUAUCUCUACUAGGACUCCGUCACUUCCCUCGUGGUAUCAAAACUUCUAUCCUGUCUCUAUCUUCCUACCUUGUGGCUUCUCUCACCUCUGAGAGAGCUACAGAUGGCGCCCAACUUUCUCGUGGCAUUCCACUCUUUUAUUUCACACAGCGAAUGGGAGAACGCGUUCGAGGACACGAGGCUAAUAGUAGGCGGGUGCCGGAAGUCCAGGAAGGUUGCCGAUCCUCUGGCCAAGGACGAUACAUGGAGUCCAUGGAAGAUGAUUAAGAGCAUCUGAUGGCAAGAAAAUCUGCCCGGAAGAAGGACAGAAGGCAGAGGUGUCUGGCACAGGACACCAGAGAAGCAGCACAUGGACUGUAAAGACUGCCCUAUAGGCAGGUUUAACACACUAUGCACACACACAUGUAAUUGUAUGAGAAACAAUGUACAUGCAGAAGAGUAUCAUUGAGUCACUAACAGAUAUUCUGUUCUAGGAAUAUGUGGGUAUUUGGUAAAAGAUCUAACUAUUACAUGCCUGACAAUUUUGAAUGGUACUGGUACAAUGUAUAACUUGAAAUCAUUUUAUUGGAAUUGUUCCAUGUUAGCCAAAUUUGAUCAAAUAUCAAAAGGGUAUAAUUGGGAAUAUUAUGACAGUAUAAGGAAUGCUGUCCACUUGCAGCACAAAAGGGUAAUACUAUCCAAAAUGUACUGAUGAUUAUUGUCUUAAAGGGUACAUUAUAUUUGCAAACAAUAUGUUUUUGCUAGAAUCAGACUUAUCUAGAAGUCAGUAUUGUUAAGCUGUGACAGUUCCACUUUCAUAAGGAAAGAGGUGGAUAUGAUAUCACUAAUCAUCUAUCUCUUCUACACCCCAGAAAGAAUAUAAGUUAAAGCUUUGUAACAAUCAAUAUUGAAUGUAAUGAUAAAGAUCACAUUGUGUGAGAUACCUGAAGUGGGUUAAAAAUCAUCAAGAUAUUAAG
RNAcentral lists this long non-coding RNA (1044 nucleotides) under Monodelphis domestica (gray short-tailed opossum). RNAcentral's name for it is "lncRNA (ENSMODG00000045644.1)". The record is from RNAcentral. Lineage: Eukaryota; Metazoa; Chordata; Mammalia; Didelphimorphia; Didelphidae.